RNAcentral lists this ribosomal RNA (468 nucleotides) under uncultured bacterium. Its description in RNAcentral is "partial 16S ribosomal RNA". It matches the Rfam family "Bacterial small subunit ribosomal RNA", at positions 28 to 507 of the family's 1533-position model. The record is from RNAcentral.
GACGAACGCUGGCGGCGUGCUUAACACAUGCAGGUCGAACGGAAAGGCCCUGCUUUUGUGGGGUGCUCGAGUGGCGAACGGGUGAGUAACACGUGAGUAACCUGCCCUCGACUUUGGGAUAACUUCAGGAAACUGGGGCUAAUACCGGAUAGGAGCUCCUGCUGCAUGGUGGGGGUUGGAAAGUUUCGGCGGUUGGGGAUGGACUCGCGGCUUAUCAGCUUGUUGGUGGGGUAGUGGCUUACCAAGGCUUUGACGGGUAGCCGGCCUGAGAGGGUGACCGGCCACAUUGGGACUGAGAUACGGCCCAGACUCCUACGGGAGGCAGCAGUGGGGAAUAUUGCACAAUGGGCGGAAGCCUGAUGCAGCAACGCCGCGUGCGGGAUGACGGCCUUCGGGUUGUAAACCGCUUUCGCCUGUGACGAAGCGUGAGUGACGGUAAUGGGUAAAGAAGCAUCGGCUAACUACGUG